This is a long non-coding RNA of Gambusia affinis (western mosquitofish), 1962 nucleotides long. RefSeq lists it as uncharacterized. The transcript has 3 exons. Lineage: Eukaryota; Metazoa; Chordata; Actinopteri; Cyprinodontiformes; Poeciliidae. The record is from RefSeq and is a predicted model, not a curated record.
CUACAGGCCAGGUUAUGGACCCCACAGCUAAACUGGUAACGUAAAGUUGCAGAGCCAGAGAAUUUCCAUUGGAUCGGCCAAGCUGGGACUGUUUCUAACUUAGGGAAGACCAACAACUGAUUGGUACCAGAGCCAUUUAUUUGAAAUGUGAAUACCCUUACAUUUCAAAUAGUUCACAAAAAACAAAAAUGUUUUCUUGAAGUGAAUAAAUCUACGACUAUAUUUAUAAAUACACGCUGUCUAAGCAUAUUUGGUGCCCAGGAACUUCUUGGGUUUGAAUCCCAACCUGAUGGCUUUCUGAAUGGAGUUUAAAUGUUCUCCCUAAACAAGCCUGGUGUUUCUCUAGAUACUUCCUCCCAGUCUCCAAAAACAUGCAUGAUGGCUUAAUUGGUCUUAAUUGAUUAACUAAUCCCUGUUAAGAGUGAGUUGGUGAGUGCAUGAUGGUUGGUCUCUUGGUUGCAACAUGGCGACCGGUCCAGGACGUACCACAUUAAAGUGUACGUUAUUUUUCACUCCAAAUCCAACACUACCCAUGUCUACUUUCAUGAGAACAAUGGAACUUCACAAAAUAACGCAGCAGCCUGCUGGAAGCUGAAGAGCUCUUGUAAGAGCCUCCAAUACUCUUGAGGCAGGAAGUGACUGAUCGUGGACCAUGAAUGCAUCACAUUCCCCUCUUUACCCGUCUCCUUCCACCUCCUCCUCCUCUUUUCACCCUCAGUGAGGGUGCCAACAGAUGAUUUCUGCCAAGAGUCUCCCCGGGAAAAGCGUGUGGUGUCUCCCUUUCUUUCUGAGUCUGACUGUUUACGAGAGUGCCCUUCCACUUUGAUGGCAACAUUGGCAGUAAGUGUCUAAUAGAAGAUAAGCACCAUACAAGUGUUCAUGGCCAAACACUCCCCCCACCAUCAUCAAGCUGAGUGUUACAGAGGGAACACUGUAUCCUAUUUUAUAUCUUCUUAAAGCAUGCAUACACACCACUCUCAAAGCGCACCCAUGCAAGAAUAGACUUUACUAACAGAAUACAAAGAGUUUGGAUCCUCUGCCACAAAGCUGCCUGCAUCACUUUUCACUCUCUCUCUCUCUCUCUCACACACACACACACACACACGCACACACACACAUGCCUACACACGCAUCCCCAAGUCUGAUGAUGAAUCCCAGAGAUGGGUUUCAGCUCUUGAAGGACACUAAAGAGAAAGUGCAGCUUUGCACCAAUAUGCUGAAAGCUACCCGCAAUCAUUUUUUCCUUUUAACGUGUGUCCAACUCCCCCACAGAAACACACAUCUAUGUACACCAACCCCGGCGAGACACUGGAGUGCUUUGAAACAAAAAAAGCGAAGGACGAAAGCAACAGACGGCACUUCUGCAGAAAGACAGAGGAAGAGUCCUUGACUGCCAGCUGACCCUGCAGCUUGUUUGUGCCGGUUCUGAAAAGGCUUUCUGACGGGUUCAGUUUUAUUAGGUGACAGGCAAGAGAUGGAGGAAGAGCUAAGAAUGAUGGAGGACACAAAAGGUCUGAGUCCACAUUGUCAAGCAAUGAGUACAACACGCGACCUGCUGCCAUGUUUCUAUGCAGGUGCAGACUGAUAAAUGGUCGGCAUUGUUUCAGAAAUAGUCAGAGUGAAUUGUCUUCUCAUAUAAUGUCCCAACAGGCUGCAAAAACAGGGCUGGAAGGACAAUCAGAGCUGAAUCAAAGAACAUGGCUGUGCUCUUCCAUGUUGGACGUCACCCGGAUGAGCAUGAGUAUUUACAUCUACAGUGAUGAAGAGAGAUGGCGUGGCGCGGCCGGAGUUUAUUUUUCACUGAGGUCACCAAACCAGUGGGACUUUUUACAGUUCCAGUAGUAUAGUUUGCCUCUAUAAAUCAGGCAGCAUUCAGUAAUAACUGUUUAAAUCUCAUUUAAAGUCACAUUUCUACUUUGACUUUCUUCCUAAACUGAGUCAUUUUAUUGGUAUCCUGCCCCA